CCUACGGGUGGCAGCAGUGGGGAAUAUUGGACAAUGGGGGGAACCCUGAUCCAGCGACGCCGCGUGAGUGAAGAAGUAUUUCGGUAUGUAAAGCUCUAUCAGCAGGGAAGAAAGAAAUGACGGUACCUGACUAAGAAGCCCCGGCUAACUACGUGCCAGCAGCCGCGGUAAUACGUAAGGGGCAAGCGUUAUCCGGAUUUACUGGGUGGAAAGGGAGCGUAGACGGCGAUGCAAGUCUGAAGUGAAAGGCGGGGGCUCAACCCCCGGACUGCUUUGGAAACUGUAUGGCUGGAGUGCAGGAGAGGUAAGUGGAAUUCCUAGUGUAGCGGUGAAAUGCGUAGAUAUUAGGAGGAACACCAGUGGCGAAGGCGGCUUACUGGACUGUAACUGACGUUGAGGCUCGAAAGCGUGGGGAGCAAACAGGAUUAGAUACCCUAGUAGUC
RNAcentral lists this ribosomal RNA (443 nucleotides) under uncultured bacterium. Its description in RNAcentral is "partial 16S ribosomal RNA". It matches the Rfam family "Bacterial small subunit ribosomal RNA", at positions 338 to 795 of the family's 1533-position model. The record is from RNAcentral.